GAUGACCGCUGGCGUCGUGCCUAAUACAUGCACGUCGAGCGAACAGACGAGGAGCUUGCUCCUCUGACGUUAGCGGCGGACGUGUGAGUAACACGUGGAUACCCUACCUAUAAGACUGGGAUAACUUCGGGAAACCGGUGCUAAUACCGGAUAAUAUAUUGCACCGCAUGGUUCAAUAGUGAAGGACGGUUUUGCUGUCACUUAUAGAUGGAUCCGUGCCGCAUUAGCGAGUUGGUAAGGUAACGGCUUACCAAGGCAACGAUGGGUAGCCGACCUGAGAGGGUGAUCGGCCACACUGGAACUGAGACACGGUCCAGCCCCCUACGGGAGGCAGCAGUAGGGAAUCUGCCGCAAAGGGCGAAAGCCUGACGGAGCAACGCCGCGGGAGUGAUGAAGGUCUCCGGAUCGUAAAACCCUGUUAUUAGGGAAGAACAAAUGUGUAAGUAACUAUGCACGUCUUGACGGUACCUAAGCAGAAAGCCACGGCUAACUACGU
RNAcentral lists this ribosomal RNA (496 nucleotides) under uncultured bacterium. Its description in RNAcentral is "partial 16S ribosomal RNA". It matches the Rfam family "Bacterial small subunit ribosomal RNA", at positions 28 to 506 of the family's 1533-position model. The record is from RNAcentral.